CGUGUAGGUUGUUAGGUAAGUCUUGUGUGAAAUCCCUGGGCUCAACCGAGGAAGUGCAUGGGAAACUACCUAGCUAGAAGAUGGUAGAGGAAGGUGGAAUUCCUAGUGUAGAGGUGAAAUUCGUAGAUAUUAGGAGGAAUACCGGUGGCGAAGGCGGCCUUCUGGACCAUUCUUGACACUGAGACGCGAAAGCGUGGGUAGCAAACAGGAUUAGAUACCCUGGUAGUCCACGCCGUAAACGAUGGGUACUAGAUGUUGCAGGAAUUGACCCCUGCAGUGUCGACGCUAACGCAUUAAGUACCCCGCCUGGGAAGUACGGCCGCAAGGUUAAA
Molecule: ribosomal RNA, 332 nt
Filed under: uncultured bacterium
Lineage: Bacteria
Description: bacterial SSU rRNA
Rfam family: Bacterial small subunit ribosomal RNA
Source: RNAcentral